GGGAACUAUCAUGGCAUUGUUGGUUACGCAACAGCCAAAGGACCGGCAGUCCCAAUUGCUUUACAAAAGGCAUAUGAGAAAUGUUUCCAAAACCUUCAUUAUGUGGAACGCCAUGAGGAGCACACAAUUGCACAUGCAGUGCAGACGGCAUACAAGAAAACAAAGGUAUAUCUUUGGCCAGCACCAACUACCACAGGCAUGAAAGCAGGGAAAACUGUUCAAACUGUUUUGAAUCUGGCUGGUUUCAAAAAUGUCAAAUCUAAGGUUGUUGGCUCAAGAAACCCCCUCAACACUCUGAGGGCCCUCUUCCAAGCUCUGAAUGCAAU
Molecule: unclassified non-coding RNA, 326 nt
Filed under: Hevea brasiliensis (rubber tree)
Lineage: Eukaryota; Viridiplantae; Streptophyta; Magnoliopsida; Malpighiales; Euphorbiaceae
Source: RNAcentral